This is a non-coding RNA of Misgurnus anguillicaudatus (oriental weatherfish), 3702 nucleotides long. NCBI's taxonomy places the organism in Eukaryota, Metazoa, Chordata, Actinopteri, Cypriniformes, Cobitidae. The record is from RefSeq and is a predicted model, not a curated record.
GGUAUUUUUUCCUCAUAAAUGAUCUUGAGCAAUGCUAAAUAAUCUGUUCCUUAUCUAAAAUGCCUACAUAUAAUCAAUAAAUAAGUAAUCAAUUGGCUUUUUAAUCGUUUGAAAAAGUCACACCAAACAAUGUUACAAUAUAGAUUUUUUUGGACAUGUAUUUACACGCAUAUGGCCUGCAUCAUUGUUGACCUUGGAACAACAUUUCUAACAACCAAUCAAUCAGAUUUAAGGGAUAAGAAAUAAGUGUUUUUGGUUCAACAGUAGCUGACAGAAGCAACAGACUGCUUGUGUUUCAACACAUCUUCAUGCGAUUGCAAAAAUUAAUACAAGAAGAUGCUCUCUGAUUUGCGCAGGGAGUUUCAUUUGAUGCAUUCUGACCAUUCAAGAAAGGCCAAACUUGUUUGGCUGGGAAUGGUGUAGUUUCACAUCAUGGAGGUGGGCUGCAGUCCAUUUUGCAUUUGCAAAGAAAUACAAACCUGACAGGUUUCAAUGCCCUGAGCACGAAUUUUUAUACUGUGAUUUAUCCUGAAAUUAUCGAGACCUACCGAUCUACAUUUUGUUUUUGUAGUACAAUGUUUAGGUACCUGUACAAACCCAAUGAAAUCUCAAUGUGUUUAAAUAAAAAAGUGGGAGUAAAUCUAUAGUGCACCCUGAGUUUUUUUUUUUUAAGGCAAUUUGCAAGUCCUGAACAUGCCUUUGCAGAUACUGUUACUGAAGCCAUGCUACAUAAACCUAAUUCACAUCUCAAGCUAUAUCUCAAUGUGUAUCAAAAAUGCAGAUGACCUGCAUAAACUUUCACUUAAAUCAGAUGUUCUUUGAUGGACGUAUAUAUAUUAACCUGUGACCCUUUUAUUUCUUUAAAAACAAAACUUAAAAGCAUUCCUGGUGAUAGGCAAAAACACAUACCAUAGUAAUGUCCCCAGGCAAAUGUACUUGUCUGUAGAUGACACGUAAUUCAUGCUGUGCAACAUUUCGCUAUAUAGCAGAUCUUAAUAUUCAAUUGAAUGAUACUGUAUGACUAUGAUUAGUUAUUGAUUGAUGUUGAAAUGGUUGCCAUUACAAAACUUUUUGACUUCAAAAUUAUUCAAGGAGGAGCUCAGAUGCAAAAGCCUUCAAACGUUACCUUCAUCAGAAAUGAUAUAAUGAUAUUAACCAAAUGCUCUUGACAAGAUAAGAUAGGUAGAUUAUUUUAUCAGGUCUAGACGUUGGGUGUGCCAUUAAAAAAUAUCUACAGAUAUUAUGUUCUUAAAAAAGCAUGUGAUAGAUAUUUGUUAUUUCCAUAUAUGGUGCUCAUCUGACAAUGAUUCCACCCUUCUCAUGACUGACAGGUGGCCCAGCCACAUGCCUUACGGUUUUUUUGUUGUUGUUGUGAUAACUGCACAUCUGCGCAGUUCAUGCUUAAAAUAAAAUAGCACUGUAAACACUAUACACAUCUGGGUUUUAUUAAAUGCAUGUUUAUGUUAAUCUAUACCGAACUUGCUUGAGUAUUUCAAAGCAUUAUUUUUAGGGGCUAUGUAUGUAUUGUGCAAUACUUUAAGUCAACAAUCCAAGGGUGUGUCUUAUCUUGUCACCUAGCCAGUUUUUUACAACCUGCUCUAGAUCUUUAUCUGUCAUCAUCAAAGUUAUUCCUUCAAUGCAUAUACAGUAGGUUAAUUAUAUUUAUAACCACAUCUAGGUAUUGCAAUUUCUCUCUAAUAUGUGUUUGUGCAUGUACAAGUAUAAAUGAAUAGUUAGUAAAAUUUUAUUUAUCUUGGCUAUCAACCAUCCCUACACAGUUUUUCACAAUGCAUUUUUGCCAUGCACAUAUUUAGGGUCAAUGCAGUGCAUUAAAAAUGCCACACCCUGCUAUUGGUUAUAGUACUACAUCAAUGCAAAAGUGCCAAACCCUGCAAUGUUACCAAGAUCAAAUAAGGUACACACUGCAAUUUAUAGAGAACACGCCUUAAUCUUAGAUCACCUAAUGUUCAGACAUACACGUACAAACAUGCAUUCACACAAAUGCAGGCAAAUACGUGCACACAUGAAUAAUAUCCGAAAAAGUCAUAGCUGAGUGUGCACACCGUCCUGCAGACACUGUACAGCCUACGCUUUCAGGCCAAACCCUGGCCUAACCCCUGUGUUAAACACAUCUGAUUUACAGUAAUAGCCUGCCGUAGCCAACAUUCUCCGCAAAGUCCUGAGGAUCCAGCCCGGACAUGCGUUUUCCUGUUUUUUCUCAUUGUGUCUCCGACUUCUUUAUAAGGUACUUCAGUAUGCCGUAGUAGAUUUAGCAAGAGCUUAUUGCUCAUCACAAACACCCAUACAAAGCAUUGGAUUGUACACCGUGAGCUCAUAGCUCUCACACCUGCAUUAUGCUAUCGUGAAGUCAUGAUAUUUAAUUGUGUUAUACUGUGAGAGCUGUAACACCCAACGGUCUAAAACUUUUACUGGUGGGUCAAUGACAAUACAUGCUGGGUUUGUGUAUGGGGGCAUUAUUUCCUGUGCCACUUUAUGUUUUGGUAUCUCAAAGUUGUAAAAUGUCAGGUGGUGCAACUGUCCGAACAAACAGAUUAAGACAACUUUUAGAAAUGGUGUUUAAAAUAUUGUGGCAUUAUUUUAUACUCCGAGAUAAUUGAAAAACUUUUGUCCAACAAUUUGGAUAUUCUUAAAUGUCAGGGUGGUACAACCACAAAUAUGGGCAUUUUACUAAAAAAUCAUUCAGAGGACCCCAAGUGAUCCUUCUGGCUGAAUGAAAAGGUUUGUAGAUUUGCUCAAACAUAUUAAAUAGCUAUUUUCAUGUAAUAAGUAAAAAGGUACAAUUUCUGUGUCAGGUGGUGCAACCAAUAUAAAACAAGGAAAACGGUGUUUCAUCAAAUAUAAUUAAAAACUGUAUUUAUGUGCUUAGUAGCACAGGCAAAAGUCAAUACAGGCAUCCAAGUAGAAGCUUGUUAAGUGUGAUUUAUAGUCGUGCAUAGGUGCUAUGCCGCAGGUUCUAUGCCGUGGGCAAUGCAUAGGCUAUACGUAGCCUGAUGUGCAUCUCUGCAAAAUUGUAACAAUGCAUUACAUUGUAUUUACAUGGACCGAAAGCGCUGUAAUUGGACCGCUAGAACCCCUCCCAUCAGGAUUUUUGCUAAGGACGGUAAAAACAAGUUGAAGAGUGAUAAACUCAAGCUGCAACAAUUGUCGCUCUCCAUUUACCUCCAUCACAGCUAAUCUUAUCAUAAUCAACAAACUGCUGCUCCUGCUUCUUCGUCUAUGGAGGGUUUACUGGCCAAGCACCUCCUUCUUCAGCUGUUUUAUUGCUACUGUGGGUAACAUGCAUGGAUACUGCCUAUUAGCGGUCUGCAUGUGUAAGUGCACGUUAAUGCGGACGAUGACGCAGAAGUAGCCUAUAUAUGAAAACCGACGCGUAGCCUACGGUGUCAAGGCUAUGCCGUAGGACUACUAUAAUGAGCCCUUGACAAAGUCAGGUGGGUGGUACCAUUAGUAAGUUAUAUAAUCAUUUGGUUGUACCACCUGACAUUCUUUUAAUUGGGAAAUUGAAAAAACUAGUGCUAGGGAAAGAUUAAUCGCGAUUAAUCGCAUACAAAAUAAAAGUGAUUUUUAGCAUAAUAUACAAGUGUGUGCUUAUUCGUGUGUAAAUAUUAUGUAUAUAUAAAUACACACACAUUCAUGAAUGUUUUUAAGAAGCAUUAACAUGUGUAUAUAUAUUUAUUUAUA